AGAACGAACGCUGGCGGCAUGCCUAACACAUGCAAGUCGAACGCGUGUAGCGAUACACGAGUGGCGGACGGGUGAGUAACGCGUGGGAACCUGCCCUGGAGUGUGGGAUAACCGAGGGAAACUUCGGCUAAUACCGCAUACGACCUGAGGGUGAAAGAUUUAUCGCUCUAGGAGGGGCCCGCGUCGGAUUAGCUAGUUGGUGGGGUAAAGGCCUACCAAAGCAGUGAUCCGUAGCUGGUCUGAGAGGAUGAUCAGCCACACUGGGACUGAGACACGGCCCAGACUCCUACGGGAGGCAGCAGUGGGGAAUAUUGGACAAUGGGGGCAACCCUGAUCCAGCAAUGCCGCGUGAGUGAUGAAGGCCUUAGGGUUGUAAAGCUCUUUCGCGCGCGACGAUGAUGACGGUAGCGCGAGAAGAGCCCCGGCUAACUUCGUGCCAGCAGCCGC
RNAcentral lists this ribosomal RNA (447 nucleotides) under uncultured bacterium. RNAcentral's name for it is "SSU rRNA". It matches the Rfam family "Bacterial small subunit ribosomal RNA", at positions 26 to 518 of the family's 1533-position model. The record is from RNAcentral.